AAAGAAAACUAUUCAACUUGUGCUUCUCGCGAGAAUAGAGAACAUAGUGCGCGUGUGCAGAGCGGAGCUGAGUCAGUACAGUAGAAUUGCCAGAUGUUUCUGGCCUGGCUUACGCUAAAACAAUGUGGAAUUCAGGAAGUAUGCAGCCCCUAAAAGCAUGCUGCUAUUAACCGUAGCGGAACCGAACUCACAUCCGUUUAAGGACUGCCACCACAUUUUUAUACACCAAACUAUUUCCGGAAAGCUUUACAUAAUACUAUUUAAGAAUUGCUAUUUUAAAUGGAUAAUAACUUCACCAAACCAACAACAAUAACCAAAACACAAUUAUCAAAAAAUUUUACUAAAAAAUACAAAAUCUAUAAGACAUUAGGUGGCAUCUCUACGCAUCAACUAAUCAAGCUCUUCUCCAUUAGUGCUCCUACAAUGCACUCUAAAAAGAGCGUAGCUAUCUGAAAAAUUCGCGGUAAUAUUCAUUUGUGAGUACAUUUGGAGCGAACAAACCAACGAAAAAGAAAUUCGCAAAUAAAAUUGCAUCGAAAGUACAAAUCAUACUAUACAAAGUUACACAAACCAUAAAAUGCAUAAUCAACUGGCGGUAUUGCGAUUCUUUUGCUUCUACAACAUCCACAAUUAUGAGCAUGUAAUAUAUUCUCAAUUCUACAUUUUCAUUCCAGGACUAGCACAUGCUCACAGCAAGGUCGCUCUGCAAAAGUGUUGGCAACUCUGAGAUACUAUAUUUAAAUGCCCUUUGUAUACACAAUAAAAAACAACAAUUGCUUAAAAUCACAAUGCUUCUUAUCAAAGUGAAUGAGAUGUGAACGAUAACAAUAUGAAGUCAUUGCAUUUUGAGGCACCACAAUUAAAGAAACUUCAUAUUUAGUACUUAUUUCCAUACAAAAUACAAAAAUAAUUAUAUUAAAUAUUAAA
Bactrocera neohumeralis is the source of this 927-nucleotide long non-coding RNA. RefSeq lists it as uncharacterized. The transcript has 2 exons. Lineage: Eukaryota; Metazoa; Arthropoda; Insecta; Diptera; Tephritidae. The record is from RefSeq and is a predicted model, not a curated record.